RNAcentral lists this long non-coding RNA (433 nucleotides) under Ananas comosus (pineapple). RNAcentral describes it as "long non-coding RNA (ACOM_LNC006596)". The record is from RNAcentral. Lineage: Eukaryota; Viridiplantae; Streptophyta; Magnoliopsida; Poales; Bromeliaceae.
CAAACCCCAACAUUUAUACUAAUAAUAAUUAUGAAAAACUUCGAAUUACCCCUCUUGUGGUUUUAUUUUUUUUCACUUUAGUACCAUACGGUUUAAAGUGUAUCAAGUUAGUACCCUGUGAUUUCGCACUUUCUCACUUUAAUACCAUGUGAUUUAAAUGUAUCAAGUUAGUACCUUGUUGUUUUGCACUUUCUCACUUUAGUAUCCUGUGGUUUAAUAUUUAAUUAAGAGAAAAAUAAAAUCACAAGAUACUAACUUGAUACAAAAAUAAAACCACAGAGUACUAACUUGAUACACUUUAAAUCACAGGGUACUAAAGUAAGAAAGUGCGAAACCACGGAGUACUAACUUGAUACACUUUAAACCACAGGGCACUAAAAUAAAAAAAUGUGAAACCACAAGGAAGGUUUUUGACGUUUUCCCUAAUAAAUUG